Dermochelys coriacea (leatherback sea turtle) is the source of this 1933-nucleotide long non-coding RNA. RefSeq lists it as uncharacterized. The record is from RefSeq and is a predicted model, not a curated record. Lineage: Eukaryota; Metazoa; Chordata; Testudines; Dermochelyidae. The transcript has 3 exons.
CAAGAUCAAUCAAUAGAUGUUUUUAAUAUUUUCAGCUACUACACCUAAAAAUAAGAAAAGUGUUCAUGAAAAAAAAAGAAAAGAAAAAGAAAAGCCACAUACAAAGAAUCAGGCCAAACCCACAUAAUUACUCUUAACUUAAGUGGUUCUUGCCUCCUAAAAUACCAGCACACAUUUAUAAUUAGCUAAUAAACUACAAAUGAAUAAUUACCUAGCACAAAGGGAGAAGGGAAGGAGGAUUUAAAACAUUACUCAGACACUUCAGCUUGUGCUGAAGGGGAAAACUAAGAUCACCACAAUUGCAAAUUUACUCUGGUUUCCAAGGGUGCAAUUUACAUCUUUUACACAAGACCCAGCCAGAAGAACUUGACUGCAAGUGCCCAGUGAUGAAAAAUCUUCUCUGGACAUUGGGACAACACUGCAAUGCAGCUACAACACCUGCUCUGGCAGGGUACACAGACCUCUUUAGCCGGUGCAGACCAAAGAGUGGGUGUAACUGGCUGAUGAGUGCAUGUGGGAAAUGACUGCAUCUCCUGCUGCUAGUGCCACAGGGAAGUUAACAAAGCUGCGGGCAGUAUUGCUUUUCCAGCAGAGUUCCUCUGUCUUUGGGGCUCUCUCGAAGGGAGGUUCUGAGUUGAUACAGGCUGGGGAACAGGGAACAAUGUAAAGACUGUCCUCUGAAGAAGAGCCAAGCAUGAGAAGAUAUCGCUAAAAGACAAGUAGCGGAGUCAUAUUUCCGUAGAUACUUAACACCUGUAAUUUAUCAGUGAAUGCAGGACGGAGUGGACAUGGUUGUACAUGUUUUACCACAGUGAGUUAGGAAUAAAGAAUUAUUUCUUUACUUAUGGUUUUGAGUAAAAUAAGCACUUUGAAAAUUGAAGAAUUAGGUGACAUCUACUUCUGGAGACAAGGUCAAUCCAUCCUAAUGUUAAUUAACCUCUACAUCCAAUUUUACUAACUGUGUUGAAAACACAGGUAUAUCUUCAAGGCUAACUGAAACAGUAGGUGGCAGUGUGUUCUACAACACCCAAAACACUCCCUGUGCCGACUGGAUUUUCCCAGAGUGAAUUUCAGAUGUUAUUUCGCCCUCUCCCCUCUGCUUAAGGCCCAGAUCCUCAAGUGUAUAAACUGGCAUAAAAACACUACAUUUACACCACCACCUGAUAAUCUGAGCCCAAAGCAUAUCUAAAAAUCUGUGAAAUCACUACAGUCCUUCUGAAAUAAACAGAUUAAGCAGAUCCUCAACUGGUGUCAACUGUAGUUAAUGGAGCUACAUGCAGAAUACCGGCUGAGGAAUCUGGCCCAUUAUUUUUAAGAGGUAAAAGAAGUGAAGCAGGCAGGUAUAUUCGGCUUUCCUCUUUGUGAUGGUGAUGGCCUGAUUAUGCAGUGACUGCCUUGUGAGAGCUGUUUUCCCUCGGGGUAGGGAGCAACUUAAAAAUGUUCAACUGGUAAUAUGGUCAUAAAGAUGUACUUGUGCAAUGAGAUGAACUGGGUGAUGCAUCACUACUCCUUUCAACUGGGGAUUAAAUGAACAACACUCCCAGAGGACAUUUGGAUACUACAUUCUAAUAUUGCUUUUCGGAGAAGUUGAUUUGGCUGGAUCUGUUCAAUUCUUACCCCCUCAGUACUAUCCUUGAUUGCCAUUUUCCUGAUAACUUUCUGUUUAAACUCAUUAACUGGAACACCCCAUGCAAAAAAAUACAGAAGGAGCAGUAAAUCCAGUCUCUCUUUGUAAUAGGAUUAUUUCAGCUGCUUAUGCUAUGUGGACCACGCUAAAAUGCCAUUUCCAUGUUAACUCUAUCAUAUAAUUACUGGCAUUGGAACAGAACUAAUACAAUUGUUUACAAUACACUAUAUAUUAUAUUAAUUUUGCCACAUGAGCCAUGACUACUGUACUGUAUUUCACUGCAUUAUAGGCUGCUUUGUGCAUUUU